CCAUGUGAGCACGGCUGUGAAGGGUAGUUUUGGUUACCUUGAUCCCGAGUACUUUAGGCGACAGCAACUCUCUGACAAAUCUGAUGUCUACUCUUUUGGAGUAGUGCUUUUCGAGGUGCUAUGUGCAAGACCAGCCAUAAAUCCUGCAUUACCAAGAGAGCAGGUCAGCUUGGCUGAGUGGGCAAUGCAGUGGCACAGAAAGGGGAUGCUUGAGAAAAUAAUCGAUCCUCACAUUGCAGGAAAAAUAUGCCCCCAAGCACUUAAGAAGUACGCAGAAGCUGCAGAGAAAUGUCUCGCAGAAUAUGGUGUUGAUAGGCCUGCAAUGAGUGAUGUUUUGUGGAACCUCGAGUCAGCAUUGCAGCUUGAAGAGGCCUCCGCCUCCUCUGGU
Molecule: long non-coding RNA, 388 nt
Filed under: Eucalyptus grandis
Lineage: Eukaryota; Viridiplantae; Streptophyta; Magnoliopsida; Myrtales; Myrtaceae
Description: long non-coding RNA (EGRA_LNC000457)
Source: RNAcentral